RNAcentral lists this non-coding RNA (115 nucleotides) under Crystallibacter crystallopoietes. Its description in RNAcentral is "Arthrobacter crystallopoietes SAM-IV sequence". It matches the Rfam family "SAM (S-adenosyl methionine) riboswitch aptamer". Rfam says of the family: SAM-IV is a mRNA element that regulates gene expression via direct sensing of S-adenosylmethionine (SAM or AdoMet). SAM-IV riboswitches share conserved nucleotide positions with the previously described SAM-I riboswitches sequence analysis and molecular recognition experiments suggest that SAM-I and SAM-IV riboswitches share similar ligand binding sites, but have different scaffolds. The record is from Rfam by way of RNAcentral. Lineage: Bacteria; Bacillati; Actinomycetota; Actinomycetes; Micrococcales; Micrococcaceae.
GGUCAUGAGUGCCAGCAACAAGCCCCGGCUAGCUGGCCGGCAACCCUCCAACCGCGGUGGGGUGCCCCGGGUGAGGACCAGGCUCCCGCCAUCAGGCGGGACGCAAGCGCGGGUC